Molecule: long non-coding RNA, 2069 nt
Organism: Magallana angulata
Lineage: Eukaryota; Metazoa; Mollusca; Bivalvia; Ostreida; Ostreidae
Exons: 2
Source: RefSeq, a predicted model, not a curated record
ACUGAUUCUAAGUACUUUCUACACGUUACAUCCAGUACAGAUGCUUGAUCCACCUCUGAAAUUAUAUAGCCCGAGAUCACUGUGACGUCAUCCUUAACUUUUGCGCUCGACAGUUUUCGUAAAUUGUCGGACAAAUUCGGGGAAGGAAAUGACGUCAUAUGUCAGCAAAAGUUCAGAUAGGUACAGUUUUUUAGGUAAGCAUAUGUGUUGUUUACUUUAAUGUUUUGAAAAGGAUUUUUUAUUGUUAAAUGAAAAUGAUGUAUGAGAUUUUCAGGUAAGAAUUUUCCGUAGAAACGCUUCCUGUUCCACCAUGUUGCUAUGCACCGCAAAGGAUCACUGGGAUAGUAGAACUUUUUCACGUGGCCUCAUAAAAUUUUCUUUGAACAAUGUGCAGAUUUCAACUCGAAUUUCCUCCGUUCGUACACAUUGUCUAUGGAGCUCGCUACGCUUCGCGCCGCCUCGCUGCGCUCGCUAUGAUGAAUAUUGCGAACACAAACUGAUGUCGGUUGUCAUAAAAAGGGAGUGAAAAAAGGACGAGACCAUACACCUUUUCCCUGUGAUCUAAACCUGUCAUCUGCAAGCAGUAAGCAUGAUUUUUCAAACCUCCAAGAGAUGAGAACAUCACUGGUAUGUGUUAACGAGGUCAUUCCUAAUACAAGCCACAAUGCGGAAAAAUAAAAGACUAACGUAAAGAACUGAAACCAUGAGUGAUGAAGAGAAGUGCUGAUAAUCAGAUUAACUCUAUUAUGUUCAUCCUGAUAAAGCCUUUCCCGAUUGAUGACUUGGAGCAUUUAUUUGGUUAUUUAAGGAUGACAAUAUUUAUUUGAACAUUUAUGAUAUAAUAUUAAGACAAUUAAUAAGCAACACAACAUAUCCUGAAAUAUGAAGCUGGACCAAACCAGUGAUAACCUACCAUUUAAGAUUCAUUACAUUACUUGCAAUUGGAUUUGAAAACCAUUUCUGAAACUUCAAAAGUCAUGAAUAACUUGGACAUAUAAUGCAUACAAUUAAGAAUUAUUAUUGUAAAGAUUAUAUAUCACGAUACAUGCAUAUGCUAUAAGAAAUACAAUUGAUAGACAUCAAAAGUUGUAUAUACUGACCAAGUGCAGUAAUGAAGUUUGUAAUGGCUAUAUACUAUUUACUGGUCAUGUGGAGUAACUGAUUUUUAAGAUAUAUAAUUAUGUUUAAUUUUAUGAUUGCAUAGUAUAUCAAAUCAUCAUUUCUGUAUAUCAGUGUCUGUCUGUCCAUCCAUUUAUCUGUCUGAAGUCUGUUUUAUUAUUAUGACACUUAUAUACACAAUUGCCUUACAGAAAAUGGUAGUCUUCUUAAAUGACGUUUUUGAAUGAAUGGUUGAGUAAAUUUUUUAUUUUAAAUAUUUUUUGAAAUGAUUUUUGUGAAUAAGAAUGUUAAUUGUUAUACAUACAGGUAUAGAUACCUUAUCUAUAUUAUCAUUUUUACAUGAAAAAAAAUGUAAAUGUAGGUGGUACAUAAUGAUACGAUUUGUUAAGUUUUAUUUAAACAUGAAAAUGAAAAAGAAAUUUAAUUGGUGUGGCCUUUCACAUUUUCUAUUGUUUAGUUCAAAUUGAGGCUGAAACAUUGUAAUAUAUUACCCUGCAUAAUUAUUCUGAUAAAGUCAAAAUUAUACAUUAUAAUUAGCACCAAGACCAAUUAUGGGGACCAAGGACGGGUUCAAAGUUUAAAGUUCAGCAUAUAUAUAGGAACUAUAGGAUUGCAUACAUGUGUAUACCUAAGGACAAAUCAUAAAUCAUCUCAGAAAUGUAGUGUUGUCCAGUCCAAUCAGAUGAUAUGAUCUAAAGAAUUAUCAUGAUUAAUUAUCAGAUUUCAUUUUAUACCUGUAAUCAUUUGAAAGAUUCUCAUAAUUUUCAAUACCCAUUUUAAUGCAAUACCUUGAAAAUCAGACAAAACGUUUAAAGAUUGAUAGAGCUAGGAAAUUCAAAUUAAUUACAGUCAAUAUAUGAUUUUUUAGGAAACCUGUUAUUUAUUUGGUUUGAUAUUGUAUUUUAAAAUCAUUCAGCAAAGGCUUAAUAAAAAUUGUGUGUAUAAAAGUU